AGCAAAAUGCCUGACUAAAGGAUUAUUUUGAUAGAAUAAAAAAUGUAAUGAAAUUACUUUUGCUA
Molecule: transfer RNA, 65 nt
Filed under: Staphylinoidea sp. 1 KM-2017
Lineage: Eukaryota; Metazoa; Arthropoda; Insecta; Coleoptera
Description: tRNA-Ile
Source: RNAcentral